RNAcentral lists this ribosomal RNA (226 nucleotides) under uncultured bacterium. Its description in RNAcentral is "partial 16S ribosomal RNA". It matches the Rfam family "Bacterial small subunit ribosomal RNA", at positions 30 to 254 of the family's 1533-position model. The record is from RNAcentral.
AUUGAACGCUGGCGGCGUGCUUAACACAUGCAAGUCGAUCGGUAACACGGUGUAGCAAUACAUGCUGACGAGAGGCGGACGGGUGAGUAAUGCUUGGGAAUCUGCCUAUUAGUGGGGGACAACCCGGGGAAACUCGGGCUAAUACCGCAUACGCUCUACGGAGGAAAGCCGGGGACCGCAAGGCCUGGCGCUAAUGAUGAGCCCAAGUCGGAUUAGCUAGUGUAGG